RNAcentral lists this ribosomal RNA (490 nucleotides) under uncultured bacterium. RNAcentral's name for it is "partial 16S ribosomal RNA". It matches the Rfam family "Bacterial small subunit ribosomal RNA", at positions 30 to 507 of the family's 1533-position model. The record is from RNAcentral.
AUUGAACGCUGGCGGCAGGCCUAACACAUGCAGGUCGAACGGUAACAGGGAUCAGCUUGCUGAUUCGCUGACGAGUGGCGGACGGGUGAGUAAUGUCUGGGAAACUGCCUGAUGGAGGGGGAUAACUACUGGAAACGGUAGCUAAUACCGCAUAACGUCGCAAGACCAAAGAGGGGGACCUUCGGGCCUCUUGCCAUCGGAUGUGCCCAGAUGGGAUUAGCUAGUAGGUGGGGUAACGGCUCACCUAGGCGACGAUCCCUAGCUGGUCUGAGAGGAUGACCAGCCACACUGGAACUGAGACACGGUCCAGACUCCUACGGGAGGCAGCAGUGGGGAAUAUUGCACAAUGGGCGCAAGCCUGAUGCAGCCAUGCCGCGUGUAUGAAGAAGGCCUUCGGGUUGUAAAGUACUUUCAGCGGGGAGGAAGGGAGUAAAGUUAAUACCUUUGCUCAUUGACGUUACCCGCAGAAGAAGCACCGGCUAACCCCGUG